Molecule: unclassified non-coding RNA, 301 nt
Filed under: Corynebacterium cystitidis DSM 20524
Lineage: Bacteria; Bacillati; Actinomycetota; Actinomycetes; Mycobacteriales; Corynebacteriaceae
Description: Long range pseudoknot
Source: RNAcentral
AUCGAUGAGCACGACUAUCAGACCAAAAAGAACAAUGUGGUUCGUUUCCUGAAAAAGGGUAACAAGGUCAAGGUGACCAUCAUGUUCCGCGGUCGUGAGCAGUCCCGACCUGAACUCGGUUUCCGGCUGCUUGAGCGUCUCGCAGAAGAUGUCGGAGAGCUUGCGCACAUAGAGUCCAAGCCGAAGCAAGACGGCCGCAACAUGACGAUGGUUCUAGGACCAGCCUCCAAAAAGGGCAAGAAGUAAACCGUUGACAAACUCUGAAGGGUUUUAAAAAUGAAGCAGAAGACCCACAAGGGCA